Molecule: ribosomal RNA, 467 nt
Filed under: uncultured bacterium
Lineage: Bacteria
Description: partial 16S ribosomal RNA
Rfam family: Bacterial small subunit ribosomal RNA
Source: RNAcentral
GACGAACGCUGGCGGCGUGCUUAACACAUGCAAGUCGAACGGAAAGGCUCCAGCUUGCUGGCGUACUCGAGUGGCGAACGGGUGAGUAACACGUGGGUAAUCUGCCCUGCACUCUGGGAUAAGCCUGGGAAACUGGGUCUAAUACUGGAUAUGACCUUUCUCCUUAUGGGGUUUGGUGGAAAGUUUUUCGGUGUAGGGUGAGCCCGCGGCCUAUCAGCUUGUUGGUGGGGUGAUGGCCUACCAAGGCGACGACGGGUAGCCGGCCUGAGAGGGUGAUCGGCAAAUUUGGGACGGAGAUAGGCCCCAGACUCCAACGGGGGGCAGCGGGGGGGAAUUUUGCACAGUGGGCGGAAGCCGGAUGCGGCGACGCCGGGGGGGGAAUGCCGGCUUUCGGUUUGAAAACCUUUUUCGGCGGGAACGAAGCUUAAGUGAGGGUACCUGAAGAAGAAGCCCCGGCUAACUAGGUG